Molecule: transfer-messenger RNA, 359 nt
Filed under: Gammaproteobacteria (g-proteobacteria)
Lineage: Bacteria; Pseudomonadati; Pseudomonadota
Also listed under: 1 other name
Description: Bin55 sp009840545 Standard tmRNA
Rfam family: transfer-messenger RNA
About the family: Bacterial tmRNA, also known as 10Sa RNA or SsrA, is named for its dual tRNA and mRNA-like properties.
Source: RNAcentral
GGGGGCGAAAUGGAUUCGACGGCGGAUACAAAGUCUCAGGUGCAUGCCGAGAGAGAAGCAGCUCUCGUAAAUCAAUUGUUUCAAUUUCUCAAUAGUUGCCAACGACGACAACUACGCUCUAGCGGCUUAAGAGCACGCUAGUCCUGUCCAUCCGAAUGCCCGUAUAGGGUGGACGGGAUCAUACUUACGGGAUCGCCCAGUACGUUGGUCCGAACGUGUUGUGGCUAAAGAUCUGGACUCGCUUGGUGGAACCCUGUCUUGUCGGGUCACCGCUAGGCUAAAGCAAAGGCAAGAAUAAGCAUGUAGAGCCAAGGAUGGAGUACUGUCGGACGCGGGUUCGAUUCCCGCCGCCUCCACCA